Long non-coding RNA from Prunus dulcis (almond), 679 nucleotides. RefSeq lists it as uncharacterized. NCBI's taxonomy places the organism in Eukaryota, Viridiplantae, Streptophyta, Magnoliopsida, Rosales, Rosaceae. The transcript has 2 exons. The record is from RefSeq and is a predicted model, not a curated record.
ACCACUUUGAGGGGCUAAAACAACACCUAACGCCCUUCCCCCUUCCCUUGCAUUAGACAUGCUCUUAUUCAAUUAAGAAAGUAUAUGAAAUAAUUCCAAGGGAGAGACUUACCCAUGCAUGAUGCAUCCUUGGAAAUCCCACAGAACCUCUCUUCUCUCUAAUCACGCUCUUUUGUUUGGGUCGACAUGCCUUCAUCCUCUUUGAUUGGCAUUCUAAACAAGAAUGGUCUCCCUUGCCCUCCGCGGCGUGUCUCUUGACAGAUUUGGGUUGGCUGUGACGUAUCUUGGCUUGUUGAAGCAGCAGCGUCUUUGUUUGCUUUCCAAUCUGUAUCAAAUCUAUGUCUAGUGUUAUUGCUUUGCUUUGCUUGUAGUCCCAUAUCAUCGGACUCUUGCCUGUCUGUAAGUUGGUGCCUAGAGGAGUGUGAGAGGAGGAACAAAGUUACAAUUGGAAAAUGAAGGCAAAUUACAAGAACACACGUGGAUUGCCGAGAGCAGCAACACCACCACAUAGAGCAAUUGACCAGUUCGACAUCCAGUGUGGAUCACAAUCAACAACGUCAUUUGCUGUCACAUCAGAGCUUUUGAUUUAAUUUCUACCACCAAAUUCCCUUCAAGUGAGUGCCACUCCAAAAUGCAGUUAUAUUGGAUUAUAUACCAUCUCAGCUCAGAUUGCAAACCA